UUUUCUUUUCCUCUCUUCUUCUUCCCUCUUCCAUGUCCGAAACCCUAGCUCCCAAAACCUUGAUUUCCUCCACUUUUCUCAACAAAUUAACCAUGAAUCUUGCAUCAAGGAUGGAGAAUAAGAGGAGAUCACCACUUUCUACCGAAUGGAAUUUCGAAAUUUUUGAGGGCACACUCCAGGAGGGGCAAGCACUCCGUUGUAGCACUGUAACCAACCAAGUGGUCAGUUCUAAACCAUGACGCUUGUCUUCUUUGGUCAACCUUUCCAUGUCCAAGCCUAAGAGAAGCUGCUCUUAUUUUCUUGAAGUUUUGACGAACUUUGGUUUUGCACUCUAGUUGUUGGCCUAAGGUUGAAAUGUGUAUAAUACUUUCUUCCGAAACGUUUUUGGUGUAUGCCCAAUUAUAGAGCUGGGCUUGUAUAUAUGUGCGUAUAUAUCCGAUAUUCAG
Non-coding RNA from Camellia sinensis, 446 nucleotides. The record is from RefSeq and is a predicted model, not a curated record. NCBI's taxonomy places the organism in Eukaryota, Viridiplantae, Streptophyta, Magnoliopsida, Ericales, Theaceae.